This 75-nucleotide transfer RNA is filed under the name Roseinatronobacter bogoriensis subsp. barguzinensis. RNAcentral describes it as "Rhodobaca barguzinensis tRNA-Asn". The record is from RNAcentral. Lineage: Bacteria; Pseudomonadati; Pseudomonadota; Alphaproteobacteria; Rhodobacterales; Paracoccaceae.
UCAGGGGCUUAAACUAGCCGAAAAAAUCGCCUGUUAAUCAAUUGGUCGUAGGUUCGAUCCCUACCGCCGGAGCCA